UCCCUGCUGACGAGUCCACGAAGGACGAAACGCCGCGUACAGGGA
Molecule: non-coding RNA, 45 nt
Filed under: Paramuricea clavata
Lineage: Eukaryota; Metazoa; Cnidaria; Anthozoa; Malacalcyonacea; Plexauridae
Source: RNAcentral